Molecule: ribosomal RNA, 253 nt
Filed under: uncultured bacterium
Lineage: Bacteria
Description: partial 16S ribosomal RNA
Rfam family: Bacterial small subunit ribosomal RNA
Source: RNAcentral
UACGUAGGUGGCAAGCGUUACUCGGAAUCACUAGGCGUAAAGCGCGUGUAGGCGGUCCGGUAAGUCCGCUGUGAAAGUCGGGGGCUUAACCCUCGGAUGCCGGUGGAUACUGUCGGGCUUGAGUACGGAAGAGGCGAGUGGAAUUCCUGGUGUAGCGGUGAAAUGCGCAGAUAUCAGGAGGAACACCAAUUGCGAAGGCAGCUCGCUGGGACGUUACUGACGCUGAGACGCGAAAGCGUGGGGAGCAAACAGG